Molecule: long non-coding RNA, 375 nt
Organism: Pezoporus occidentalis (night parrot)
Lineage: Eukaryota; Metazoa; Chordata; Aves; Psittaciformes; Psittacidae
Exons: 2
Source: RefSeq, a predicted model, not a curated record
AAGCAUAGUAAAGACUGAUGGCUAAAGCAGCCAGAUCUGAGAACUCCCGGCUUCUUUUCAAAAUGGUUGCUGCUCUGGUCUGUGCUUUGAAGGCAACGGGCUACUUUUCACCUGGCACUGCAGGCAGGACCCAGCUUCUCUUCUCAACUCACAGCCCUCAGAUCUCUGCUAUUUUUCACCAAGUUUAGGGACUUGGUGCCUGUGCACAGCAAAUGCCCUGUAAAUGUGCAGGAGCAGAUUUUGGAGCUCAGAGAGCUGACUCUUCAGAGACCAUGGUGCCAGAAAGAUUCCCAUGUCCGUCGCAUUGCUGAGAGCCAAAGAGAACCAAGAGCACUUUCAGUUCAAAGAAUAUUAAAAAAAAAAAACAAACCAAAC